This 520-nucleotide ribosomal RNA is filed under the name uncultured Glomus. RNAcentral's name for it is "SSU rRNA". It matches the Rfam family "Eukaryotic small subunit ribosomal RNA", at positions 569 to 1090 of the family's 1831-position model. The record is from RNAcentral. Lineage: Eukaryota; Fungi; Glomeromycota; Glomeromycetes; Glomerales; Glomeraceae.
AGCAGCCGCGGUAAUUCCAGCUCCAAUAGCGUAUAUUAAAGUUGUUGCAGUUAAAAAGCUCGUAGUUGAAUUUCGGGGUCAGUAGGUUGGUCGUGCCACUGGUAUGUACUGGCCUCACUGAUUCCUCCUUCUUGUAGAACCGUAAUGCCAUUAAUUUGGUGUUGCGGGGAAACAGGACUGUUACUUUGAAAAAAUUAGAGUGUUUAAAGCAGGCUAACGCUUGAAUACAUUAGCAUGGAAUAAUGAAAUAGGACGUUCGAUCCUAUUUUGUUGGUUUCUAGGAUUGACGUAAUGAUUAAUAGGGAUAGUUGGGGGCAUUAGUAUUCAAUUGUCAGAGGUGAAAUUCUUGGAUUUAUUGAAGACUAACUACUGCGAAAGCAUUUGCCAAGGAUGUUUUCAUUAAUCAAGAACGAAAGUUAGGGGAUCGAAGACGAUCAGAUACCGUCGUAGUCUUAACCAUAAACUAUGCCGACUAGGGAUCGGAUGAUGUAAUUUUUUAAUGUACUCAUUCGGCGCCUUA